GGGGUGGCCGAAAGUAACCUGGAACAAGAUUAUUUUCCAAGUCAAUGUUUACACAGAUCAACACAGGCUAGAAGGUGCAUACCUUCCUGCCCAAAAGAAGGGCCAGCAUGUGUAGGGGUUCUUCCGCUCAUCCAUGUGCCAUGCUGAUUAUCUGUGUUAAAUUCACUUGAAGGCAUUCUCCAAAGUUCAUCACUAACAAAUCGCCUUCGUCCAUCAGG
RNAcentral lists this unclassified non-coding RNA (218 nucleotides) under Hevea brasiliensis (rubber tree). The record is from RNAcentral. Lineage: Eukaryota; Viridiplantae; Streptophyta; Magnoliopsida; Malpighiales; Euphorbiaceae.